Molecule: ribosomal RNA, 245 nt
Filed under: uncultured bacterium
Lineage: Bacteria
Description: partial 16S ribosomal RNA
Rfam family: Bacterial small subunit ribosomal RNA
Source: RNAcentral
GUAACACGUAUCCAACCUGCCGAUGACUCGGGGAUAGCCUUUCGAAAGAAAGAUUAAUACCCGAUGGCAUAGUUCUUCCGCAUGGUGGAACUAUUAAAGAAUUUCGGUCAUCGAUGGGGAUGCGUUCCAUUAGGUUGUUGGCGGGGUAACGGCCCACCAAGCCUUCGAUGGAUAGAGGUUCUGAGAGGAAGGUCCCCCCACAUUGGAACUGAGACACGGUCCAAACUCCUACGGGAGGCAGCAUG